CCUACGGGAGGCACCAGUAGGGAAUCUUCGGCAAUGGACGAAAGUCUGACCGAGCAACGCCGCGUGAGUGAAGAAGGUUUUCGGAUCGUAAAACUCUGUUGUUAGAGAAGAACAAGUAGGAGAGUAACUGCUCUUACCUUGACGGUAUCUAACCAGAAAGCCACGGCUAACUACGUGCCAGCAGCCGCGGUAAUACGUAGGUGGCAAGCGUUGUCCGGAUUUAUUGGGCGUAAAGCGAGCGCAGGCGGUCUUUUGAGUCCGAUGUGAAAGCCCUCGGCUCAACCGAGGAAGGUCAUUGGAAACUGGAGGACUUGAGUGCAGAAGAGGAGAGUGGAAUUCCAUGUGUAGCGGUGAAAUGCAUAAAUAUAUGGAGGAACACCAGUGGCGAAGGCGACUCUCUGGUCCGUAACUGACGCUGAGGCUCGAAAGCGUGGGGAGCAAACAGGAUUAGAUACCCGGGUAGUC
RNAcentral lists this ribosomal RNA (465 nucleotides) under uncultured bacterium. RNAcentral's name for it is "bacterial SSU rRNA". It matches the Rfam family "Bacterial small subunit ribosomal RNA", at positions 338 to 795 of the family's 1533-position model. The record is from RNAcentral.